Non-coding RNA from Ornithorhynchus anatinus (platypus), 785 nucleotides. The record is from the annotation of a RefSeq genome assembly. Lineage: Eukaryota; Metazoa; Chordata; Mammalia; Monotremata; Ornithorhynchidae.
UCUGUCCUCUGGAGCCAUGGUAGCAGUGGCAAAACACUUACAGGGCCCCUCUAUACAUCUCCUGUUCUAUGGCUGUGUUGGAACUUCAAAGGCUGGGGGUUAUGGCGCUGACAAGACACCCCCCGAGGAGCUAAUACAGAGAAUUCUGUGGCCUGAGUCUCUGGUGGAAUCUGGAGGAGCUACAAGACCAGCCGAGCAAUCUCUCCUUCUCUCCUGCACAGCCUCUGGAUUCACCUUUGAGGACUACGGGAUUGACUGGUACCGGCAGGCUCUUGAAAAAGGGCCAGAAUGGGUUUCCCACACUGACCCUGCCGGAAGAAACCUGCUGUUCGCAGAGACUGUGAGGGGCUGCUUCUCCAUCUCUAGGAACACCAAAGACCAGCUGUACCUGCAGUUGGACAAUCUGCAAGCUGGGGACAGCGGCCAUUAUUACUGUGUGAGACUCAAAGUGAGGGAAAGAGACUGGGACCCCCCACGCAAACCACUCUCUGUUCCUGCUCAACCCUAGCAGAGGUGAACCUUGGGCUGCUGUGGCACAAAACCAUGGGGCCCAGGAAACAUAACUGUGGGAUUCUCCCCUUCUCCCCAUGCACACAAACACAUCAUUCUUGGGCAAGCACAUUUUCCUAAAGAAGGCCACUGGCCCCUGAACCCACAGACAAGGAUGAUUACAUUCACUCCUAUCUGCUUUCCAAAGAGCAAGUAAUGCAAUCACCAGGUGAACAGGUUUUUACCAAUUGUCUUUCUGCCUAUGAAGGAACAAUGUGUUAACUUGAUUACUUACA